CCACCUCAGGUUCCUCCCUUUCUUGAAGGGGUAGAGAAUGUCGUGAAAAGACAAGUGCACAGUCUUUCCUCGACCUGAAUCUGCUGCGAUCCCGAAUUGGAAGUAAUGGAAUACGUAGCUGGCGGCAAGAAGGUGAUGGUUCUCUGUAUAUUCGUGUAUAUUUAUCUGUAUUUAGGGUUUUAUUCAUCAGGGUCGUGGGAAGUACAUCUAUGUUUCUUUUCAUCACAUAAAUUAUUAUUGAACUAUCCUACCAGGACCAGGGAUUGAAUCAGGGUCAUUAUAAUAAUGUCUAAUUGGUUACACACAUUGCGCCAAAAGGGCAGGUGAGCAUCCUUCCUCACUGAACUUUAACAAGGCAGGCUGUACAUAAUUUCUCUCUCUCCCUGGUCGCUGGCUUGAUCAUUCACCAUCGUGUGUCAUGUGCAUUCGUGUUAGUGUAGUAUUCAAGUCAGUUUUCGUUGACUUGUGUCCUUCUGCCAUGUAACUUAACCAUGCCACUGCAAGACAACAGCACCACUUUGGCUCUGCCAAAAUGUGGGACUGUGAUGCAAGUCUAGGCCUAAAAACAAAGGGAUUGAAAGUUGAUGACCAGUGGGACAGCCUACAAGAAGUAUCCCCCAACAUUUUAAGGACCUGAGGGAUAGCUGGUCGAAAAGAGGGUGUUCCUUUCUUCACACAGGAAACUUCAUGAUGUGCGAAUCUGUCCUUUCCUCCAAGAGGAGAUUGUCUCUCCCUCAUCAAGGGAACGAGAGUAUUUUCGCUGAAAAUUUCCAUGAACUAUUCAACUCCAGACGAUCACCUCUGCAGCUACACCAAUCAGCGGUUCAACUGAAAGAAUUUGGUUACAUAUUCAUUUGCCCUCUGUUGUACAGGCAGUCCCCGGGUUACGACGGUCUCGGCUUACGACGUUCCAAGGUUACGGCGCUUUUCAAUUAUAUUCAUCAGACAUUAUUUCCAGGGUUACGACGCCUACAACGCUCAUCUGGCAGAUGAAAUAUGACACCAAAAAUGCAAAAUAAUCAAUAUUUGAAGCUUUUUUUUGAUGAACAAUGCCAUAAGAAUGCAGUUUACAUAGUUUUCAAUGCACCCAAAGCAUUAAAGGUAAGGUUUUCUUAGGAUUUUUGACGAUGUUCCGGCUUACGACGUGUCUCAAGAACGGAACCCCCGUCGUAACCCGGGGACAGCCUGUGCUCUGUUUAUUACUGUACAGAAGCAUUUUUUAAAUACAUUGUAAUUUAUUACUCUUGCAAGUCCCUUAACAAGGCCUGGGCUUGCAGCAUAACACCAGCCUAAUGGCAUAGCCAAAAUAAUUCAGAGAAAACCAUGUAAGAAGAGAGCAAGGCAAAUGGCUGAAACAUUACAAAAACUGUUAUACUUAGCAGCUGAGUACAGCAUCUUGUCACAAUAUACUGUAAUGCUCUUUAAUUUUAGAUACCUCCAGAGCAUCCAUUAUGGUGAAUGAAUUAAAAUGAAGUAACUCGAGCUCCAUCAAACUCAAAUUAUCCAUUAUUUUAUGAACCAGUUUAAAAUGACCAGCAAUAUGAACGAAUGAUGAGCUACUGUAGUUUUCAACUUUGAUAAGCAAUAUGAGUGGCUGCAUUUCGAUAUAGUAUUGCAAGAGCAAUAGUGGAGAGUUGUUUUUCAGUGGCAAGCUUUGAUCUUCCAUCUAGCUGGAUGGGUAGGGAUUUUACAUGCUAAUUAUUUUACCCCAAUAUCUAUUAAUUUGCAUGUCAUUUCAACUGCUUGUUUUCCUUCCACCCAACUCUAGUCCUAUGUCAACGCAGUCUAUCUACAUUAACAGUUACUUUGGUCCCUCCCUUAGUUUUUGGUUCUUAAAUGAUAAAAUCAUAAUAAUGUCUUAAUGCAUUAAAAAAAAAUUUCCUUUCUCAUUUGCAGUUAUCCCUUGGCAGAUGAAAUAAAAUCUUCCCCAAUUCUGUCAACAAAGGAGUGGCUAAUUCAACUAUAUUAUUGCACUAUGAAAAUAAGUAUGCUGUCCUUUGUUACUGCAUCUAGGAAUAAAAUUAUUGGAGGCAUAGCCAAAACUUUAGACAAGUGAAAUGCAUUUCACACAGCACAUACCAAAAUAUUGCCGAUAUCCUGGUCCAGUCUUUUAUUUCAUUACUGAGUAUCAACAGUCUUGCUUGAUAAGAGACAUGACCUAGUUUAACUAAUUUUAUCAAAACUGACCAAGGUUUUAAAGAUUAUUAUUAAUAGGGGUUAGUUUUUUCAGACAUCUGAGUCUCAAGUAGACUCUUCUGGGCUGGUUCUCAGUGAUCAAUCCUGAGGAAAAAAAAAAUUAGACUUUAUUUGAGAAACCUGCCUUAUUUAAAAAAUUUAUGAUGUUAUUAAUUGAAAAAUCUUUGCUUUCAGCAAGAAUACUUUUCAUUUUUGAAUUCCGUAUAUAAAUAGAUCUUUGCUGGGUCCAAUUUGGGCACUCAACAAGUAAAUGCUGUACUGUCAUGGGUGUUUGACAUCUGUUACACUU
Molecule: long non-coding RNA, 2485 nt
Organism: Macrobrachium nipponense
Lineage: Eukaryota; Metazoa; Arthropoda; Malacostraca; Decapoda; Palaemonidae
Exons: 3
Source: RefSeq, a predicted model, not a curated record